RNAcentral lists this ribosomal RNA (2773 nucleotides) under Shigella boydii. Its description in RNAcentral is "bacterial LSU rRNA". It matches the Rfam family "Bacterial large subunit ribosomal RNA". Lineage: Bacteria; Pseudomonadati; Pseudomonadota; Gammaproteobacteria; Enterobacterales; Enterobacteriaceae. The record is from RNAcentral. RNAcentral also lists the same sequence under 31 other names.
AGCGUACACGGUGGAUGCCCUGGCAGUCAGAGGCGAUGAAGGACGUGCUAAUCUGCGAUAAGCGUCGGUAAGGUGAUAUGAACCGUUAUAACCGGCGAUUUCCGAAUGGGGAAACCCAGUGUGAUUCGUCACACUAUCAUUAACUGAAUCCAUAGGUUAAUGAGGCGAACCGGGGGAACUGAAACAUCUAAGUACCCCGAGGAAAAGAAAUCAACCGAGAUUCCCCCAGUAGCGGCGAGCGAACGGGGAGCAGCCCAGAGCCUGAAUCAGUGUGUGUGUUAGUGGAAGCGUCUGGAAAGGCGUGCGAUACAGGGUGACAGCCCCGUACACAAAAAUGCACAUACUGUGAGCUCGAUGAGUAGGGCGGGACACGUGGUAUCCUGUCUGAAUAUGGGGGGACCAUCCUCCAAGGCUAAAUACUCCUGACUGACCGAUAGUGAACCAGUACCGUGAGGGAAAGGCGAAAAGAACCCCGGCGAGGGGAGUGAAAAAGAACCUGAAACCGUGUACGUACAAGCAGUGGGAGCACGCUUAGGCGUGUGACUGCGUACCUUUUGUAUAAUGGGUCAGCGACUUAUAUUCUGUAGCAAGGUUAACCGAAUAGGGGAGCCGAAGGGAAACCGAGUCUUAACUGGGCGUUAAGUUGCAGGGUAUAGACCCGAAACCCGGUGAUCUAGCCAUGGGCAGGUUGAAGGUUGGGUAACACUAACUGGAGGACCGAACCGACUAAUGUUGAAAAAUUAGCGGAUGACUUGUGGCUGGGGGUGAAAGGCCAAUCAAACCGGGAGAUAGCUGGUUCUCCCCGAAAGCUAUUUAGGUAGCGCCUCGUGAAUUCAUCUCCGGGGGUAGAGCACUGUUUCGGCAAGGGGGUCAUCCCGACUUACCAACCCGAUGCAAACUGCGAAUACCGGAGAAUGUUAUCACGGGAGACACACGGCGGGUGCUAACGUCCGUCGUGAAGAGGGAAACAACCCAGACCGCCAGCUAAGGUCCCAAAGUCAUGGUUAAGUGGGAAACGAUGUGGGAAGGCCCAGACAGCCAGGAUGUUGGCUUAGAAGCAGCCAUCAUUUAAAGAAAGCGUAAUAGCUCACUGGUCGAGUCGGCCUGCGCGGAAGAUGUAACGGGGCUAAACCAUGCACCGAAGCUGCGGCAGCGACGCUUAUGCGUUGUUGGGUAGGGGAGCGUUCUGUAAGCCUGUGAAGGUGUGCUGUGAGGUAUGCUGGAGGUAUCAGAAGUGCGAAUGCUGACAUAAGUAACGAUAAAGCGGGUGAAAAGCCCGCUCGCCGGAAGACCAAGGGUUCCUGUCCAACGUUAAUCGGGGCAGGGUGAGUCGACCCCUAAGGCGAGGCCGAAAGGCGUAGUCGAUGGGAAACAGGUUAAUAUUCCUGUACUUGGUGUUACUGCGAAGGGGGGACGGAGAAGGCUAUGUUGGCCGGGCGACGGUUGUCCCGGUUUAAGCGUGUAGGCUGGUUUUCCAGGCAAAUCCGGAAAAUCAAGGCCGAGGCGUGAUGACGAGGCACUACGGUGCUGAAGCAACAAAUGCCCUGCUUCCAGGAAAAGCCUCUAAGCAUCAGGUAACAUCAAAUCGUACCCCAAACCGACACAGGUGGUCAGGUAGAGAAUACCAAGGCGCUUGAGAGAACUCGGGUGAAGGAACUAGGCAAAAUGGUGCCGUAACUUCGGGAGAAGGCACGCUGAUACGUAGGUGAAGCGACUUGCUCGUGGAGCUGAAAUCAGUCGAAGAUACCAGCUGGCUGCAACUGUUUAUUAAAAACACAGCACUGUGCAAACACGAAAGUGGACGUAUACGGUGUGACGCCUGCCCGGUGCCGGAAGGUUAAUUGAUGGGGUUAGCGCAAGCGAAGCUCUUGAUCGAAGCCCCGGUAAACGGCGGCCGUAACUAUAACGGUCCUAAGGUAGCGAAAUUCCUUGUCGGGUAAGUUCCGACCUGCACGAAUGGCGUAAUGAUGGCCAGGCUGUCUCCACCCGAGACUCAGUGAAAUUGAACUCGCUGUGAAGAUGCAGUGUACCCGCGGCAAGACGGAAAGACCCCGUGAACCUUUACUAUAGCUUGACACUGAACAUUGAGCCUUGAUGUGUAGGAUAGGUGGGAGGCUUUGAAGUGUGGACGCCAGUCUGCAUGGAGCCGACCUUGAAAUACCACCCUUUAAUGUUUGAUGUUCUAACGUGGACCCGUGAUCCGGGUUGCGGACAGUGUCUGGUGGGUAGUUUGACUGGGGCGGUCUCCUCCUAAAGAGUAACGGAGGAGCACGAAGGUUGGCUAAUCCUGGUCGGACAUCAGGAGGUUAGUGCAAUGGCAUAAGCCAGCUUGACUGCGAGCGUGACGGCGCGAGCAGGUGCGAAAGCAGGUCAUAGUGAUCCGGUGGUUCUGAAUGGAAGGGCCAUCGCUCAACGGAUAAAAGGUACUCCGGGGAUAACAGGCUGAUACCGCCCAAGAGUUCAUAUCGACGGCGGUGUUUGGCACCUCGAUGUCGGCUCAUCACAUCCUGGGGCUGAAGUAGGUCCCAAGGGUAUGGCUGUUCGCCAUUUAAAGUGGUACGCGAGCUGGGUUUAGAACGUCGUGAGACAGUUCGGUCCCUAUCUGCCGUGGGCGCUGGAGAACUGAGGGGGGCUGCUCCUAGUACGAGAGGACCGGAGUGGACGCAUCACUGGUGUUCGGGUUGUCAUGCCAAUGGCACUGCCCGGUAGCUAAAUGCGGAAGAGAUAAGUGCUGAAAGCAUCUAAGCACGAAACUUGCCCCGAGAUGAGUUCU